This 530-nucleotide long non-coding RNA is filed under the name Parus major (Great Tit). RNAcentral's name for it is "lncRNA (ENSPMJG00000004690.1)". Lineage: Eukaryota; Metazoa; Chordata; Aves; Passeriformes; Paridae. The record is from RNAcentral.
GUUUGGUGGCCCUCAGGGUGUCUCUGCUGGGCUUGUCUGAGGGUCUUGGUGUCUGUUCUUGUCGCUGUUUUUGUCACCUGUUCUUGUCACCAUUCUUGUCCCCUGUUCUUGUCACCAUUCUUGUCCCCAUUCUUGUCCCCUGUUCUUGUCCCCAUCCUUGUCCCCUGUUCUUGUCACCAACCUUGUCCCUGUUUUUGUCCCCGUUCUUGUCCCCCCAUUCUUGUCCCCAUUCUUGUCCCUUGUUCUUGUCCCCAUCCUUGUCCCCUGUCCCCCAUUCCCACUGUCCCACUCCCCUGUCCUUGUCAUCAACCCCGUUGUCCCCUGUCCCUGUCCCUGUCCCCUGUUCUUGUCCCCAGCCUUGUCCUGUCAUUGUCCCCAACCUUGUCCCCAUCCUUGUCCCCUGUCCCCCAUUCCCACUGUCCCACUCCCUUGUCCUCUGUCCUUGUCCUCAACCCCAUUCUUGUCCCCAUCCUUGGCCCCAUCCCUGUCCUGUCCCUGUCCCUGUCCCCUCCCUGUCCGUGUCCCUGUCC